AUGGCCGCGGCGACACGUGCGGCAGCACACUGUCUGCUUGGCCUCCGUCGCCGCUCGCCGCCGCUGCCUCUCCUCCCCUUCCCCGGCCGGAGCAGCAAGACGGCCGUGCGCAUGGCCUCGUCAGACGCGCCGCAGCUCGGCGCCGCCACCGUGGAGGUGCCCGGCGCGGCGGGGCCCGUGCGGGUCGUGGCGGCGGCGGGCCUCCCCGAGGCGGACUUCAGGAAGGCGCUGGACUCGGCGCUGUUCCGGCGCUGGUUGGAGAGCCUGCAGGGGGAGAGGGGCCUGCUCGCCCACGGGAAGCUCAGCCUCCGGCAGAUCCUCAUCCAGGGGGUGGACAUGUUCGGGGAGCGCGUGGGGUUCCUCAAGUUCAAAGCCGACAUCGUCGACGAGGCGACCAAGGCCAAGAUUCCAGGGAUUGUCUUCGCAAGAGGGCCUGCUGUUGCUGUGUUGAUUCUCUUGGAGUCCAAAGGGCAAACUUAUGCCGUUCUUACUGAACAGGCUAGAGUUCCUAUUGGAAAGUUUAUAUUGGAGCUACCAGCUGGAAUGCUAGAUGAUGAAAACGGCGACUUUGUUGGCACCGCAGUCCGAGAGGUCGAAGAAGAAACUGGUAUAAAGUUAAAUCUAGGGGACAUGGUUGAUCUUACUGCUUUGCUGGACCCUGCUACUGGGUGCAGAAUGCUACCAUCACCGGGUGGCUGUGACGAAGAGAUUGGCCUGUUCCUUUACCGGGGGCACGUGGACGAGGAGACUAUCAGGGCUCUCCAAGGAAAGGAAACGGGCCUGCGGGAUCAUGGCGAGCUGAUCAACCUGCGUGUGGUCCCCUACGACCAGCUUUGGCGCUUGACGUCAGACGCAAAGGCACUCUCGGCCAUAGCUCUGUACGAGAUGGCCAAGAAGGAAGGCGUCCUGCCGCCGUCUAGUGGCUCGUCGUCGAACCUAUAA
This 942-nucleotide ribosomal RNA is filed under the name Triticum aestivum (bread wheat). RNAcentral's name for it is "partial small subunit ribosomal RNA". Lineage: Eukaryota; Viridiplantae; Streptophyta; Magnoliopsida; Poales; Poaceae. The record is from RNAcentral.